This 460-nucleotide ribosomal RNA is filed under the name uncultured bacterium. RNAcentral's name for it is "partial 16S ribosomal RNA". It matches the Rfam family "Bacterial small subunit ribosomal RNA", at positions 338 to 795 of the family's 1533-position model. The record is from RNAcentral.
CCUACGGGUGGCAGCAGUGAGGAAUAUUGGUCAAUGGACGAGAGUCUGAACCAGCAACGUAGCGUGAAGGAUGACUGCCCUAUGGGUUGUAAACUUCUUUUAUAUGGGAAUAAAACGUUCCACGUGAGGGAUCUUGUAUGUACCAUAUGAAUAUGGAUCGGCUAACUCCGUGCCAGCAGCCGCGGUAAUACGGAGGAUCCGAGCGUUAUCCGGAUUUGUUGGGUUUAAAGGGAGCGUAGGUGGAUUGUUAAGUCAGUUGUGAAAGUUUGCGGCUCAACCGUAGAAUUGCAGUUGAAACUGGCAGUCUGGAGUACAGUAGAGGUAGGCGGAAUUCGUGGUGUAGCGGUGAAAUGCUUAGAUAUCACGAAGAACUCCGAUGGCGAAGGCAGUUCACUGGACUGCAACUGACACUGAGGCUCGAAAGUGUGGGGAUCAAACAGGAUUAGAUACCCGGGUAGUC